RNAcentral lists this ribosomal RNA (353 nucleotides) under uncultured bacterium. Its description in RNAcentral is "bacterial SSU rRNA". It matches the Rfam family "Bacterial small subunit ribosomal RNA", at positions 29 to 410 of the family's 1533-position model. The record is from RNAcentral.
AACGAACGCUGGCGGCAGGCCUAACACAUGCAAGUCGAACGCUCCGCAAGGGGGAGUGGCGCACGGGUGAGUAACACGUGGGAACCUACCUUCUGGUACGGAACAACCAAGGGAAACUUUGGCUAAGACCGUAUACGACCUCCGGGUGAAAGAUUGAUCGCCGGAAGAGGGGCCCGCGUCCGAUUAGGUAGUUGGUGAGGUAACGGCUCACCAAGCCUUCGAUCGGUAGCUGGUCUGAGAGGAUGACCAGCCACACUGGGACUGAGACACGGCCCAGACUCCUACGGGAGGCAGCAGUGGGGAAUAUUGGACAAUGGGCGCAAGCCUGAUCCAGCCAUGCCGCGUGAGUGAUG